RNAcentral lists this ribosomal RNA (700 nucleotides) under Clostridioides difficile. Its description in RNAcentral is "bacterial LSU rRNA". It matches the Rfam family "Bacterial large subunit ribosomal RNA", at positions 1585 to 2297 of the family's 2925-position model. The record is from RNAcentral. Lineage: Bacteria; Bacillati; Bacillota; Clostridia; Peptostreptococcales; Peptostreptococcaceae.
GCGAAGUAGCUGAUUUCACACUGUCAAGAAAAGUCUCUAUCGAGGUUAAAGGUACCCGUACCGCAAACCGACACAGGUGGGUGAGGAAAGUAUCCUAAGGCCAGCGAGAGAACUGUUGUUAAGGAACUCGGCAAAAUGACCCCGUAACUUAGGGCUAGGGGGUGCCACCAUCAGGUGGCCGCAGAGAAUAGGCCCAAGCGACUGUUUACCAAAAACAUAGGUUUCUGCUAAGUCGCAAGACGAUGUAUAGGAGCUGACGCCUGCCCGGUGCUGGAAGGUUAAGGGGAUCUGUUAGAGCAAUCGAAGCAGUGAACUUAAGCCCCAGUAAACGGCGGCCGUAACUAUAACGGUCCUAAGGUAGCGAAAUUCCUUGUCGGGUAAGUUCCGACCCGCACGAAAGGCGUAACUAUUUUGGAACUGUCGGAAAAACAGACUCUGUGAAUUUGUAAUUCCGGUGAAGAUGCGGGAUACCUUCGACAGGACGGGAAGACCCCAUGGUGCUUUACUGUAGCUGGACAUUGGGUAUUUGUACUACAUGUAAAGGAUAGGUGGGAGGCUUUGAAACCAGGACGCCAGUUUUGGCGGAGCCAUCCUUGGGAUACCACCCUUGUAGUACUGGGACUCUAACCAUAGGCCAUGAAUCUGGUCUUGGGACACUGUCAGGUGGGCAGUUUGACUGGGGCGGUCGCCUCCCAAAAGG